ACUCGUGACACCUACCAAUUCUUUAUUGUUAUUUUUGCAAGUCGACUGAAAGCCGGUUUUGACCCUCAACUAAACGAUCUAGUCACAAAUGGAUGACGAUAGGUGUUUGUCAAAGCAAG
This is a long non-coding RNA of Haliotis rubra (blacklip abalone), 119 nucleotides long. RefSeq lists it as uncharacterized. The record is from RefSeq and is a predicted model, not a curated record. The transcript has 3 exons. Lineage: Eukaryota; Metazoa; Mollusca; Gastropoda; Lepetellida; Haliotidae.